RNAcentral lists this ribosomal RNA (858 nucleotides) under Streptomyces arenae. RNAcentral describes it as "bacterial SSU rRNA". It matches the Rfam family "Bacterial small subunit ribosomal RNA", at positions 67 to 939 of the family's 1533-position model. The record is from RNAcentral. Lineage: Bacteria; Bacillati; Actinomycetota; Actinomycetes; Kitasatosporales; Streptomycetaceae.
CGAUGAACCACUUMGGUGGGGAUUAGUGGCGAACGGGUGAGUAACACGUGGGCAAUCUGCCCUUCACUCUGGGACAAGCCCUGGAAACGGGGUCUAAUACCGGAUAACACUCCUGCCUGCAUGGGCGGGGGUUAAAAGCUCCGGCGGUGAAGGAUGAGCCCGCGGCCUAUCAKCUUGUUGGUGAGGUAACGGCUCACCAAGGCGACGACGGGUAGCCGGCCUGAGAGGGCGACCGGCCACACUGGGACUGAGACACGGCCCAGACUCCUACGGGAGGCAGCAGUGGGGAAUAUUGCACAAUGGGCGAAAGCCUGAUGCAGCGACGCCGCGUGAGGGAUGACKGCCUUCGGGUUGUAAACCUCUUUCAGCAGGGAAGAAGCGAAAGUGACGGUACCUGCAGAAGAAGCGCCGGCUAACUACGUGCCAGCAGCCGCGGUAAUACGUAGGGCGCAAGCGUUGUCCGGAAUUAUUGGGCGUAAAGAGCUCGUAGGCGGCUUGUCACGUCGGUUGUGAAAGCCCGGGGCUUAACCCCGGGUCUGCAGUCGAUACGGGCAGGCUAGAGUUCGGUAGGGGAGAUCGGAAUUCCUGGUGUAGCGGUGAAAUGCGCAGAUAUCAGGAGGAACACCGGUGGCGAAGGCGGAUCUCUGGGCCGAUACUGACGCUGAGGAGCGAAAGCGUGGGGAGCGAACAGGAUUAGAUACCCUGGUAGUCCACGCCGUAAACGGUGGGCACUAGGUGUGGGCAACAUUCCACGUUGUCCGUGCCGCAGCUAACGCAUUAAGUGCCCCGCCUGGGGGAGUACGGCCGCAAGGCUAAAACUCAAAGGAAUUGACUGGGGCCYGCACAAGCGGCGGGAGC